CCUGUCCUUAGAAAGAAUGUGGGUGCAGCUGGUGUCCCAUGUGUGCCAGUAGGUGCCAGAAAGAAGAGAGGCUAUGUCUAGACUCAGAGUUCUGACCUAUGACCAUCUGAAUGAUUACUUGCCUAACAUU
This is a small nucleolar RNA of Meriones unguiculatus (Mongolian gerbil), 130 nucleotides long. The record is from Ensembl. Lineage: Eukaryota; Metazoa; Chordata; Mammalia; Rodentia; Muridae.